AAGUCGAGGCCACAGUAAGCGGUGGUCGCGCCACUGCACUCCAGCCUGGACGACAGAGCGAGACGCUGUCUUAAAACAAAAAAACAAACAAACAAAAAAAAUUCCCCAGCCAUCUCUUCUGCUGUCAAACACCGUCUACAAGAUUUGCAUCAAACAACGUGAGAACUUGAAAUAUGUCUCCAUUCUUUUUCCGUAGUACUCUCGUCCAUUCACUUACAGUAAAGCACUUACUAUAUACGUUUUUCAUUUUAUUUUGUUUGACUCUUCCUUUGUGUCAGCCUCUUCCUUUUGUCUCACACAUACACACCACUCACACAUUUAUGAGCUCCUUAAUGGCAAUGGUUAUGGCUUUGUCAUUUGUACU
Long non-coding RNA from Chlorocebus sabaeus (green monkey), 364 nucleotides. RefSeq lists it as uncharacterized. The record is from RefSeq and is a predicted model, not a curated record. Lineage: Eukaryota; Metazoa; Chordata; Mammalia; Primates; Cercopithecidae.